This 75-nucleotide transfer RNA is filed under the name Sphaerodactylus townsendi. Its description in RNAcentral is "tRNA-Ala". Lineage: Eukaryota; Metazoa; Chordata; Lepidosauria; Squamata; Sphaerodactylidae. The record is from RNAcentral.
GUGAGGUCAUGGCUCAGUGGAAGAACCUCUGCUUUGCAUGCAGAAGGUGUCAGUUUCAAUCCCCGGCAUCUCCCG